GACGAACGCUGGCGGCGUGCUUAACACAUGCAAGUCGAACGGAAGGGCCCUGCUUUUGUGGGGUGCUCGAGUGGCGAACGGGUGAGUAACACGUGAGUAACCUGCCCUUGACUUUGGGAUAACUUCAGGAAACUGGGGCUAAUACCGGAUAGGAGCUCCUGCUGCAUGGUGGGGGUUGGAAAGUUUCGGCGGUUGGGGAUGGACUCGCGGCUUAUCAGCUUGUUGGUGGGGUAGUGGCUUACCAAGGCUCUGACGGGUAGCCGGCCUGAGAGGGUGACCGGCCACAUUGGGACUGAGAUACGGCCCAGACUCCUACGGGAGGCAGCAGUGGGGAAUAUUGCACAAUGGGCGGAAGCCUGAUGCAGCAACGCCGCGUGCGGGAUGACGGCCUUCGGGUUGUAAACCGCUUUCGCCUGUGACGAAGCGUGAGUGACGGUAAUGGGUAAAGAAGCACCGGCUAACUACGUG
RNAcentral lists this ribosomal RNA (468 nucleotides) under uncultured bacterium. Its description in RNAcentral is "partial 16S ribosomal RNA". It matches the Rfam family "Bacterial small subunit ribosomal RNA", at positions 28 to 507 of the family's 1533-position model. The record is from RNAcentral.